Molecule: ribosomal RNA, 1413 nt
Filed under: uncultured bacterium
Lineage: Bacteria
Description: partial 16S ribosomal RNA
Rfam family: Bacterial small subunit ribosomal RNA
Source: RNAcentral
AGAGUUUGAUCCUGGCUCAGAUUGAACGCUGGCGGCGUGCUUAACACAUGCAAGUCGAACGCGAAAGGGGGCUUCGGCUCCCGAGUAGAGUGGCGCACGGGUGAGUAACGCGUGGAUAAUCUGCCCUCUUGUUCGGGAUAACUGCUGGAAACGGCAGCUAAUACCGGAUAAGCUCCACCAAUUGUAUGGUGGAGGAAAGGAGGCCUCUUCAUGAAAGCUUCCGCGAGGGGAUGAGUCCGCGUCCCAUUAGCUAGUUGGUGAGGUAACGGCCCACCAAGGCAACGAUGGGUAGCCGGUCUAAGAGGAUGACCGGCCACACUGGAACUGAAACACGGUCCAGACUCCUACGGGAGGCAGCAGUGGGGAAUAUUGCGCAAUGGACGAAAGUCUGACGCAGCGACGCCGCGUGAGGGAUGAAGGUUUUCGGAUCGUAAACCUCUGUCAGGAGGGAAGAAAGCGCAUGGCGCCAAUCAGCCAUGCGUUGACGGUACCUCCAAAGGAAGCGCCGGCUAACUCCGUGCCAGCAGCCGCGGUAAUACGGAGGGGGCAAGCGUUAUCCGGAUUUACUGGGUGUAAAGGGGGCGCAGACGGCCAUGGCAAGCCCGGUGUGAAAGGCAGGGGCAUAACCCCUGGACUGCACUGGGAACUGUCAGGCUGGAGUGCCGGAGGGGUAAGCGGAAUUCCUGGUGUAGCGGUGAAAUGCGUAGAUAUCAGGAGGAACACCGGCGGCGAAGGCGGCUUACUGGACGGCAACUGACGCUGAGGCUCGAAAGCAUGGGUAGCGAACAGGAUUAGAUACCCUGGUAGUCCAUGCCGUAAACGAUGAGUGCUAAGUGUUGGGAGGUUUCCGCCUCUCAGUGCUGCAGCUAACGCAUUAAGCACUCCGCCUGGGGAGUACGACCGCAAGGUUGAAACUCAAAGGAAUUGACGGGGGCCCGCACAAGCGGUGGAGCAUGUGGUUUAAUUCGAAGCAACGCGAAGAACCUUACCAGGCCUUGACAUCCUGAUGGCGUGGGCGUAACGGCUUAUUCCCCUCGGGGCAUCAGAGACAGGUGGUGCAUGGUUGUCGUCAGCUCGUGUCGUGAGAUGUUGGGUUAAGUCCCGCAACGAGCGCAACCCUUAUUCCCAGUAGCCAGCAUUUCGGAUGGGCACUCUGGGGAGACUGCCGGGGAAGACCCGGAGGAAGGCGGGGAUGACGUCAAAUCAUCAUGCCCCUUAUGGCCUGGGCUACACACGUGCUACAAUGGCGCAUACAAAGGGAGGCGAAGGAGCGAUCUGAAGCAAAUCCCAGAAAAGGCGCCCCAGUUCGGAUUGCAGCCUGCAACUCGGCUGCAUGAAGCUGGAAUCGCUAGUAAUCGCGGAUCAGCACGCCGCGGUGAAUACGUUCCCGGGCCUUGCACUCACCGCCCGUCA